GAUGAACGCUGGCGGCGUGCCUAAUACAUGCAAGUCGAGCGAACAGACGCGGAGCUUGCUCCUCUGACGUUAGCGGCGGACGGGUGAGUAACACGUGGAUAACCUACCUAUAAGUCUGGGAUAACUUCGGGAAACCGGAGCUAAUACCGGAUAAUAUAUUGAACCGCAUGGUUCAAUAGUGAAAGACGGUUUUGCUGUCACUUAUAGAUGGAUCCGCGCCGCAUUAGCUAGUUGGUAAGGUAACGGCUUACCAAGGCAACGAUGCGUAGCCGACCUGAGAGGGUGAUCGGCCACACUGGAACUGAGACACGGUCCAGACUCCUACGGGAGGCAGCAGUAGGGAAUCUUCCGCAAUGGGCGAAAGCCUGACGGAGCAACGCCGCGUGAGUGAUGAAGGUCUUCGGAUCGUAAAACUCUGUUAUUAGGGAAGAACAAAUGUGUAAGUAACUAUGCACGUCUUGACGGUACCUAAUCAGAAAGCCACGGCUAACUACGUG
This 497-nucleotide ribosomal RNA is filed under the name uncultured bacterium. RNAcentral's name for it is "partial 16S ribosomal RNA". It matches the Rfam family "Bacterial small subunit ribosomal RNA", at positions 28 to 507 of the family's 1533-position model. The record is from RNAcentral.